AUACUUACCUGGACGGGGUCGAUGAGUGAUCAUAAAGGCCCAUGGCCUAGGCAAGCUGCCUCCAUUGCACUGAGGAGGGGUGCUUGCCUAAGGUCUCCCCGAGCGGGAGAGCUUACGUCAUAAUUUGUGGUAGUGGGGCUUGCGUACGUAAUAAUUCUGU
Theobroma cacao (cacao) is the source of this 160-nucleotide small nuclear RNA. It matches the Rfam family "U1 spliceosomal RNA". From Rfam's summary of the family: U1 is a small nuclear RNA (snRNA) component of the spliceosome (involved in pre-mRNA splicing). The record is from Rfam. Lineage: Eukaryota; Viridiplantae; Streptophyta; Magnoliopsida; Malvales; Malvaceae.